CAUGUAGGCGGCCCGUUAAGUGCCUUGUGAAAUCCCUCGGCUCAACCGAGGAAUGGCUGGGCAUACUGGCGGGCUUGAGGCAGGUAGGGGCGCGAGGAACUCUUGGUGGAGCGGUGAAAUGCGUAGAUAUCAAGAGGAACGCCGGUGGUGAAGACGUCGCGCUGGGCCUGUCCUGACGCUGAGAUGCGAAAGCCAGGGGAGCAAACGGGAUUAGAUACCCCGGUAGUCCUGGCCGUAAACGAUGUCCACUAGAUCGGGGACUCUUUGACGGGUUCCUAGUCGAAGCGAAAGCGUUAAGUGGACCGCCUGGGUAGUACGGUCGCAAGGCUAAA
Molecule: ribosomal RNA, 332 nt
Filed under: uncultured bacterium
Lineage: Bacteria
Description: bacterial SSU rRNA
Rfam family: Bacterial small subunit ribosomal RNA
Source: RNAcentral